This is a non-coding RNA of Podarcis lilfordi (Lilford's wall lizard), 132 nucleotides long. The record is from the annotation of a GenBank genome assembly. Lineage: Eukaryota; Metazoa; Chordata; Lepidosauria; Squamata; Lacertidae.
GUAAAGGAGGCCAGUGCCAUGGGGGUUAUCUCACAGUCCCAGAUGAUGGCUAAGUUGAAGAAGGCAGAAUCGCUUUUGGAUGACAUUCAGGUCUGAAUGAUGAUUUAGAGAAGAAAAGGCUAUUCUUUCCAA